RNAcentral lists this long non-coding RNA (1079 nucleotides) under Homo sapiens (human). Its description in RNAcentral is "HSALNT0306832". Lineage: Eukaryota; Metazoa; Chordata; Mammalia; Primates; Hominidae. The record is from RNAcentral.
GGCAACCACCAUUCUACUUGAUGCCUCUAUGAAUCUGACUACUCUAGGUACCUCAGAUGAGUGGAAUUAUGCAGUAUUUGUCCUUUUGUGUGUACAACUAAUUUGACAGGCAGUAUGAUAAGGAACAAUCUGAAUGACACGUAAACAGGAGGGGGUAAAUUCCAAGCACAGCCUGAAUGAGAAGUACAACUCAUUUCCUGUAACCUAGAUGCCUUUUUAACACAUCUAUGCAGUCUCCAUGUGAAACCAGGUGCUGUUCCCAAAGGAGAAAACACUGCCCUCCAGUGGUCUUCAAUGAAGAAAUGGAAAUAGUUUCAGGUGGAAACCAGGCUUCUUGGAAGACUUCAAACUAUGCCAAAUGGUCUGAUUUCACCAUAGAGAUUCUUUGCUGAAGAAUGCAGCUGUAUUAAAGGAAGAAAGAAAACCAAGCUACAGCUCCUUAUAAUUCAACAAGCAUUUAAAAGAUUUAUAAAGAUGGUGCAAUUAUGUAUUUAAGCUGCUUCAACACAAGUUCUUGCCUUUCACUCCCACCCUGUGGCUUACACUGGUAUUACAUCUAUUCUGACAUUUAAAAAUCAACAUUAAAGAACAUAUUGUAAUAAUGUAUUCUAUGGUUUAAAUAUUUAAAAAAUUUUACAUCAUACCUAGAAAGUGUUGUGUACUUUCUAAAGCUUAUAAACUGAAAAGGAUUUGAAGAAUCCUAAUACAGAAUCAUAAGUUAUAAUUCAUCCAAAAUUGUAUAGUUCUUAAAUUUCAAAUCCAAACCAGUGGAUAUCUGUCUUUAGUGACAUUUAGAUUUUAUUCAAUUAAGGUCAUUGUAGCUAUUAUAAAUGGAAGAUUUUACUUCAUUGUGUCUUAUCACUGAAGUACUUCACUCUUGCUUUUCAAAAGAUUUCUUUCAAUUUCUUCAGAGUCUUAUUUGUUCUCUAAGACAAAGACUUGAUUUCAGUUUGUUUUUCUUAAAAUUAAUAUCUUCUCCAAUUUAUUUCCCAGUUUUUUCUAAAUAAAUACUUUAAAUAUAUAGAGUAUUAUUUUUAUAGUAUCUCAGAAUUAGUAAAAUAAAAUCUUGCCAAUACAAA